Dicentrarchus labrax (European seabass) is the source of this 349-nucleotide long non-coding RNA. RefSeq lists it as uncharacterized. The transcript has 4 exons. The record is from RefSeq and is a predicted model, not a curated record. NCBI's taxonomy places the organism in Eukaryota, Metazoa, Chordata, Actinopteri, Moronidae.
AUUAACCCCACCCACACAGGUGCGUUCACUGACUGUAACGUUCAGGUACACCUGGGUGUGAACUGAGGGCAGGUUCACUGAUGCGUUCAGGUACACCUGGGUGUGAACUGAGGGCAGGUUCACUGAUGCGUUCAGGUACACCUGGGUGUGAACUGAGAGCAGGCUCACUGAUGCGUUCAGGUACACCUGGGUGUGAACUGAGGGCAGGCUCACUGAUGCGUUCAGGUACACCUGGGUGUGAACUGAGAGCAGCUCCCUGAUGCGUUCAGGUACACCUGGGUGUGAACUGAGGGCAGGCUCACUGAUGCGUUCAGGUACACUGGGAGUCUGUGCUAACGGGAGCAGAUGA